GGCAACGCCACACCUUGCCUUUAUCACAUCUGGCCGUCAACGUAACUAGCCAUCUCCAACGCCAUCUGGCAACAAUCAGCAGCGUCGGGGAAGCUCCCGGGAAACGUCACACCUUGCCUUUAUCACAUUUGGCUAUCGAUGUAACUGGCCAUCCCCAACGCCAUCUAGCAACAAUCAGCGGCACUGAGGAAGCUCCCGGGCAACGCCACACCUUGCCUUUAUCACAUCUAGCUGUCAACAUAACUAGCCAUCUCCAACGCCAUCCGGCAACAAUCAGCGGUGUUGGGGAAGCUUCCGUGCAUUGCCACACAUAUCGCCUCCACAUAUAAGCCACCGACCAGGGCCCCGUCGCCCCUGCCUUCUUUUCCCGUCAUCUCCCUCUUCCCUUCUUUGUUUCUCCCGUUUACUCUCAUCUUCCUCUAUCUCUCUUUCUCUCUGUUACAGGGAAGCCGCCAUGGACGUCUGAGGUCCUCAGCUCCGACCCACGCCCCGGCGGCCCUGCCGACGUCGUCGCCUAGGAAGACUACCAUGCCCGUUGCAGGAGCUUCGAGCCGACCCCGCAGCAUGAAGACCGCCGCCGCCCGUUCGUCAUCGGGAAUCGCCAGAUCCGGCCCGUCUCCGACCUGCCUCCCCGUCCUUCGCCCGUUCCCGACGUCUCCCCGGCGCCAAGAGCUCAGGAGAGCGCCGCCACAAGACCCUGACUCCUCUGCCCCAGAUCCCGCCAUGGUGGUCAUCGCCUCUUCGUCUCUAUCUGUCCUUCGCCAGAUCCACGCUGGUGUCCUCGAGGGACCCGUCAUGGAGGUUGUCGCCUCUCCCAUCUCGAUCCGCCCGCCGCCGGAUCCACGACGGAGCGGCCGAGAUCCGCCGCCCGUUCCGCAACGCCUCGGCCCGCAGGAAGGCCAAGGGCCUCGCCAAGCAGCAGGAGGACUUGCCGGCUAGGCUCGCCUGCCGCAGGCGCGCCCGCGAGCUCACUCCCGUGCCCGCCGCGCUCUCAAACGCACGCCGGACGUCAGGGGCUUUUUUGCCAAAACGGAAUGUUAUCUCAAGAACACACUGAAAAUAGGACUGCGGGUUGACUUCAAAGAAAUAGAGGGACUUUUUUGCAAAAA
This is a long non-coding RNA of Triticum aestivum (bread wheat), 1109 nucleotides long. RefSeq lists it as uncharacterized. NCBI's taxonomy places the organism in Eukaryota, Viridiplantae, Streptophyta, Magnoliopsida, Poales, Poaceae. The record is from RefSeq and is a predicted model, not a curated record. The transcript is spliced from 2 exons.